UACGGAGGGGGCUAGCGUUAUUCGGAAUUACUGGGCGUAAAGCGCACGUAGGCGGCUUUGUAAGUUAGAGGUGAAAGCCCAGAGCUCAACUCUGGAAUUGCCUUUAAGACUGCAUCGCUUGAAUCAUGGAGAGGUGAGUGGAAUUCCGAGUGUAGAGGUGAAAUUCGUAGAUAUUCGGAAGAACACCAGUGGCGAAGGCGGCUCACUGGACAUGUAUUGACGCUGAGGUGCGAAAGCGUGGGGAGCAAACAGG
RNAcentral lists this ribosomal RNA (253 nucleotides) under uncultured bacterium. RNAcentral describes it as "partial 16S ribosomal RNA". It matches the Rfam family "Bacterial small subunit ribosomal RNA", at positions 524 to 776 of the family's 1533-position model. The record is from RNAcentral.